Molecule: ribosomal RNA, 786 nt
Filed under: uncultured bacterium
Lineage: Bacteria
Description: bacterial SSU rRNA
Rfam family: Bacterial small subunit ribosomal RNA
Source: RNAcentral
AGAGUUUGAUCCUGGCUCAGAACGAACGCUGGCGGCGUGCUUAACACAUGCAAGUCGAGUGCGCGCCUGUAGCAAUACAGGUGGCGCACGGCGCACGGGUGCGUAACACGUGGGUAAUCUGCCCUCUGAUGGGGAAUAACUCGCCGAAAGGCGAGCUAAUUCCGCAUAAUAUUCCGAAAAGUUCGCUUUUUGGACUGAAAGGCGUAAGUCGUCGGAGGAGGAGCCCGCGCACGAUUAGCUAGUUGGUAGGGUAAUGGCCUACCAAGGCUUUGAUCGUUAGCUGGUCUGAGAGGAUGGCCAGCCACACUGGAACUGAGACACGGUCCAGACUCCUACGGGAGGCAGCAGUGGGGAAUCUUGCACAAUGGGCGAAAGCCUGAUGCAGCGACGCCGCGUGGGGGAUGAAGCUUCUCGGAGUGUAAACCCCUUUCGAUCCGGACGAAUGCCUCGCAAGAGGAGUGACGGUACGGAUAUAAGAAGCCCCGGCUAACUACGUGCCAGCAGCCGCGGUAAUACGUAGGGGGCCAGCGUUGUUCGGAAUUACUGGGUGUAAAGGGUUCGUAGGCGGUGUGGCAAGUCGGGAGUGAAAUCUCUGGGCUCAACCCAGAGACUGCUUCCGAAACUGCUGUGCUUGAGUGUGAGAGAGGCUCGUGGAAUUGCAGGUGUAGCGGUGAAAUGCGUAGAUAUCUGCAGGAACACCCGUGGCGAAAGCGGCGAGCUGGAUCACUACUGACGCUGAGGAACGAAAGCUAGGGGAGCAAACAGGAUUAGAUACCCUAGUAGUCC